GAUGAAGAACGUAGCGAAAUGCGAUAAGUAGUGUGAAUUGCAGAAUUCAGUGAAUCUUCGAAUCUUUGAACGCACAUUGCGCCCCUUGGUAUUCCAUGGGGCAUGCCUGUUCGAGCGUCAUUUGUACCUUCAAGCUCUGCUUGGUGUUGGGUGUUUGUCUCGCCUCUGCGUGUAGACUCGCCUCAAAACAAUUGGCAGCCGGCGUAUUGAUUUCGGAGCGCAGUACAUCUCGCGCUUUGCACUCAUAACGACGACGUCCAAAAGUACAUUUUUACACUCUUGACCUCGGAUCAGGUAGGGAUACCCGCUGAACUUAAGCAUAUCAAUAAGCGGAGGA
Molecule: unclassified non-coding RNA, 337 nt
Filed under: soil metagenome
Description: partial contains 5.8S ribosomal RNA, internal transcribed spacer 2, and large subunit ribosomal RNA
Rfam family: 5.8S ribosomal RNA (bases 1-120)
Source: RNAcentral